GAGUCUUUCCAAUAUUCAAUUGAAAGUGAAUGAGGCCGAAUGGGAAGACAAAGAGAUCUCCUGGUUUUAGGAUUUUGGUAAAGAGACGAUGAUCAGGAUUUGAGGUUACAAAGCCAGCAUAAAGAGUGCCUUCCAAAACCAGCAGAACCUCCGAUCCUCUGGGGUGAUAAUGUGGAGGGUUUAGGCCACCGUUUGGCGCCAAGUCUAUCCGUGCUAAAGAUACGCCAAGAGUGUUAAGCCCAGGCAUUAGAUCGGCUGUAAUGAUAUUAACACGUGCUCCAAGUUGAUUUGAUGUGUUUCCAGGAACAUCAAGCCCCGAGUACGAGAAAUCAUCAGGAGUGGCGAGGCUUGGAUUCUUACACAAUUUUCCAUUAACAAGAACUGCAGACACAAGCAAAAUGUAAUCAGUUGGAAUGCGAAUUCAAAAUGAAAUACAUAUAAUAGUUCGUGAUUCCGAAAUAUCACAAUCUUGAAUGUACCAGCAGAAUUAGCAUCAUCUAUUGCUACGCAGAAGUCUUGGAGGGGGCUGGGGUCAUAGGCAGUGACAAAUGAGGAAGCCAGAGCCAAGAGAAUAAAAACCGCUAUCAAAUUAGCAACUUUCAUCAUGGUUCUGCUUUGGCUUGCUACCUUGAAUUCUUUCCUUUUCUUUUUUCCUUCUUGGGUAUUGUUUGUUGGGUAAGGCGGGAGAGCUUGCAUGCAGAGCAUGGGUAUUUAUCAAGCGAACAUUGGACUUUGACGAUUGUAUAUAUGAUGAAACUCUAACGUGCCUUCACUAGUUAAAUCUAUAUUUUUGGAGCAAUAUAAUUAAUUAAUUAAAUAACCAAGCAGAGACUAACAACAGUGACGAUGACUAAAUGGAGGCAAGAUACUUUACGCCUCUUAAUUGGCCAAAAAAAUGCUGUUUAAUCACGAGGAUUAAGAAGCAAUGUGAUCUUAAUUAGUUACUCAAUCAUCAAGAACUUCUAGAUUUUUCAAUUCUUCAACUCCUGAAGAGAACCUCUUCAUUCUUUUUUGGAGGUUAAUGGACUUCAAUUGUUUUUUCUUUUUCAUUUUUUCCGACUCAAUAUCAAAUUAACUUUUACCACUGCAAGCAUAAAUAUCUGUGUUUAUUUAUUUAUUUUCCAUGAAGGCAUGCAUCGGGAUUGAGAACUGAAAAAUGUACUAAAGUUUUCUUUCAAUUUAUUAAGUGAUUUCGUUUAACUUGAUCACUGCAGUAACCUAAGAAUAUAUUCUUCUAGCUGAAAUCUUAUUUGAUAUAAUAUUUUGCUAAUUAUGAAAGGAGAUCCAUCAAGGACUAUAUCAAACAUAAAAGAAAAAUUAAAACUACAUAAUAAGCAACAUUCGAUAUAGCCAUUUAUGAAUUACAUCAUGGAGUUGAAGAAUGAAGAGUACAAGAUGAAGACGCGCACGAUGGAAUUGAAAACUCUAGAAGUUCUUAUAGUUAGGCAAUUAUGAUAUUUAUACGUUUCUUCUCUAUCCACCUCUGGCCAAUAGAGAGACAUUAAAGUACUUGUUGAACUCUUUUUUGCCUCAACUUAGUCAUCAUCAGGCUCCCGGGUUCUCACCAUUGCUUAUAAUGAGUGUGUGCUCUGUUUGGGCCAAAAUGUAAAUUUAACUAGUGAAGGUCUAUUAGGGUUUCUGCAUGCAAUUGUCAAAUGCCAGUGUUUGACUGGUCAAAGAUCAAUGAUAAGUUGUUGAGAAACAAAACUUAAACGACGUAUAACUCAUCUAUAAAUACCCAUGCUAAUACCCAUGCUCUGCAUGCAAGUUCUCACUCCACUAAUUAAGCUAAUGGCUUCUAAUACCUUGAUAAGUGGAGUAAAAUGAAAAGCUUCGUGGAAGGAGUUUUAUGUUCAAAAGCCUGUUAAAAGUAAAGCAAGCCAGAACCAUGUACAAAUGGAAGAGGCAAGUGUGUUGUGCCAUGGACCUCCCUGUUUCCCUAAGAAAAAUUAUGUAGAAAGGUCUUUUAAGUGGGAUCGCUUUUCUAAAAGGGACAACAACCUUAGAAAAAAACCAGAAAAGAUCGAUUAGGAAACACAUGAGCUGCCAUAAAAUACACACUAUUCCAGUGAAUGCCACCCUCAUAUAAGUCUUCACGACCAUCAAAGGUAAGGAAUUUGUUCAAUACCUUCCACCUAUAAAAUCAUCACCUAGUACUUGUUUAGACAGACAACUGGUAAAUGUUUGUGGACUUUCCAGAUUUAAACAAAGCUUUCCCAGAAGAUAACCAUCCUCUCUCUAAGAUUGACUGAUUGGUUAACUCCACUGCGAGUUUUGAAUACCUCAGCUUCUUGGAUGCCAACUCUAGCUAUCACCAAAUUACCAUGCUCCAUAAUUGAAGGGGAAACAUUUUGUUAUAAAGUUAUGCCUUUUAGGCUUAAGAAUGCAAGGGCCACUUAUUAGUGGAUGGUAAAAAAAAUGUAUUUAAGAACCAACUUGGGAGGAUUAUAAAAGGAUAUGUUGAUGACAUGUUAGUGAAAGCAAGACUUUUGAGAAACAUUAACUAGACCAAAAAGAAGUCAUUUCCUCUGCUUGACCAUAAUAAGAUGAAACUUAAUCAUUCCAAAUAAGUCUUUGCCAUCAAAUGAGGAAAAUUUUUGGGUUUUCUAGUAAGUAACAAGGGAAUCGAGCCUAACCUAGAGAAGAAUAAUGAUAUUGCGAUAUUUUGAGCAGUGUGCGCUCUGUUCCAAUGAUGUGUUAUUGCACUUGGAGCCAUGCCUGCUAGACCAAGUUAACCUCAAUGUCAUUGUUCUUUUGUGCUUCUCUACAGUGGGAAGAAAGGAUUAGAGCAUAUGAUAGGCUUAGAUAACCAUCUUUGGUUUACCAAUGGAAGGAUGAAACAAAAACUGCUUCGAUAUUCUUUCAGAGAGCUUUGGCAAUAUUGUUGGCUAUGACACAACAUGUGUUAGCCAGGGAUCUAUAUCUAGUAUAAGGGUCUUUAUUAGCACUAUAAAGUUGGAACAUUUGCAUAACCAACUUAUCCUUAAGCUUGAUGAAAUACAAAUUAAGGUCACGUUGAAAGAGAUAAAGGGUGAGUUCAUUCCUUCCAUCACAAUAGUCAAACACUUUAUGGAUGUCUCGUUGUAUUUAGAAUUGACCUUUGAUGAAGAAGAAGAGGAAGGUGAUCAGAAAACUGAUUUUGCAACAUUAACCACCAGGGCUACAAGACAAAAAGUUGAGUUUGAAUUCGAUUUUAAUUGUGCUUUGGGCAGCUAAAAUCAGCUUGACAUUAAAUGCUUCAGGCCAGCCAUACCAUUUUUGUACUUUUUUCUAGAAAUUACAGAAUUAUACAGGCAUUUAGCUUUAUCUGAUAAGCAUAUGUACAACACUGGUAACCACUUGGCUCUUAUGCUAUAUGAUUAUGAUGAGGUGGCUAUAACUGCUUGUAUAGACGUGGACGUGUCACAAGCCGCUUCCUUUAUUGAGGGAGAUGAGCUGGGAAAAAAAAGCUCUAAUAGUGAAGAGUUAAAGAAGAUGGGCUGAAAGAAGACUUCUAGUAUAGGCCGAUUAACAAGUUUUAACUUAAACAUUGCGCCAUCAUUUGUAAAUUUCAUUACCCCCAUUAUUGAUCUGAGUAAGUUGUAUGAUUUGGAAUUGAAAAACAGGAAAACUCAAAGAAAGAAAGUUAAGAUAUUUACACGCAAAGCAUCCUCUCUUAAGAAAAGGAAACCACAUAAAGUAAAAAGGUUAAGGCUCUAAGCAAGCUGAGAUAGGGGUUAUUGAUAAUUUAGUUUCUGAUAAUGUAAUUAUGAAUAGAAAUGUUAUUAUUCGAUCUAGAAAGGAACUAGCUAGUGAAGACGAGGCAAGCAGUUCACACAUUAGAUUUUUUCCAAGGAUUGAUGAUCAAGCAUGUGAGCCAUUACAUACUGACCCCAUAGAUGAAGCAAUUACUUGCUGGGAUAUGGGAAAAGCUAUCUUGCAAAUUCAUGAUGGAACCCAACUUAUGACAUAGACACUGCAUGGAUUUAUUGAAAAUGAUAUGGAGUAGUGGAUUAGUAGGAAGAAGCGGUGACUUACUUCUCUUGGUUCUUUUAAGGUGUGGUUUUUAAUCCUUUCUAUGGGUCGUAUGAUUAUUUGGAAUGCGUGUGGUUUAGGGGGCAGAAAUAAAAACAAAUGUGUGAGAAAUCUUGUUAGAAAGCUUAGUCUGGAUGUCUUGGGUGUGUUGGAAAUGAAAGUGGACAAUAUUAAUAACUGUAUCAUUAAUUCGACUUGGGGUAGAUAUUCUAGAGACUAGUAUGCAAUGCCUUCCUUAGGUCUUUCUAGGGGUAUUUUAUGCAUAUGAAAUCCAGCCUUUUUUUGUGCUUCUAGUUGUUCAGUUGCUAUAAAUGGGCAUAUUUUACAUUUUGAGGCUGUGUUUUCUUGUUCAAAUUUGGAUUGCUUAGUGUCUUUUGUUUAUACUCCAAAUGAUGGGUUGUUGAAGGAGUUAUGGGACUAUCUUGUCAAUUUUAAAGACAUUGUUGGCAAACCAUAGUGUCUUACAAAUGACUUCAAUGAAACUAUAUUCCCCUUGGAUAGAAAAGGUGGCUUUCGAAUCUCAUCUUCCAUGACAAACUUUAAGAAUUGCAUUGACUAUUGCGAGCUUGUUGAACUGCCAUUAAACAGGAAGAAGUUUACUUGGUCUAGAGGUAAUGCAACAAACCAUAUUGAUAGAAUAUUUAUGUUGACUGAUUGGCUUAAGCUUUUCCCAUCUUUUACUCUGUAUGGGCUUCCAAAGUAUUCUUUAGAUCACAGACCGAUUCAUCUGUUAUUAGACUCUACGAACUGGGUCCAAAGCCUUUCCGGUUCAUGAAUUAUUGGUGGCUCUUAUUUGAUUUCAGGAAGGUGCUACAGGUCUUCUAGAAUGCAGCUUUGAUUACUAACUUUGGUAAAAAUAAUGUGGCUUCGACAUUGAGGUUAUUGAAAGAGAGUUGCAUGCAGUGAGGUAAAAAUGUGGUGGGUAACACUAAUAGUGAAAUCAAAGCUCUAGAACUUGAAGUGGAUUCCCUAUAUUCCAAAAAAAAAUAAAAAUGCAGAGACUUAUGAGUGGAUGAAUUAAAUAGAAACAAUACCAUUGCCUUUAGUCUUAGAAAUUUAUACAGAGUGUAAGAGUCUGCCUGCCAUCAGAAAUCAAGAGUUCAGUGGUGUAAGUUUGGAGACAGAAAUACUUAUUUUUUUCAUCUCUCUACCACGACAAGACAAAAAAAGAAUCAGAUUUUCUCCUUAGAUGUUGAUGGAACGACUCUGACAAAACCUUCUGAUGUGAAGAAAGUCAUGUUCAAUUUAUUUAGUAAGCUCUAUUCUCAUGAUGGUAGACCUAAAGCCUCUUGUUGUAAUUUAGAUUUUCUAAAGCUUUAGUCUUCCUCCUUGGCUGCUCUAGAAAUUCCAUUCUCUAGAGAUGAGAUUAAAGUUGGUGGGGGUCAACGUGGUGCUGCCUAAAUAGCUUCUCGACCCUUUUUUCUCAGUAGGAUUCUUUAGUCAAUGACAAGUUCCAAAAAAAAGGGCAUUUGGCUUCUCAAUAAUGAUGUGAUCUUCAAGUAGAAAACCCCGGACUAUGACACGCUAUUCUUCCUUAUUAUUACUAGACUCUGCUUAUGGCUGAAGGCUAUAGAUUCUUAUUUUCCGGCAUCAAAUAUAUUAAAAUCAGCAAAAGGGCUACUUAUAUAGACUAAUCUCCAAAAACCUAGUUUGGUUGUCAUGUGGUCUCUCCCUAAAGCUAAUAGCUUCAAAUGGAAUGUGGAUGGAUCUUCACUGGGAAAGCCUGGUUCCUUAGGUAUGGGUGGUGUUUUAUGAAAUCAUUAUGGAAUUCUUCUUGGUAUCUUGUUGUUGUCGGUUUGAAUUUUAAAAUCCAAUGAAGUCGAGCCACGAGUUGUUGUCAAAGCUAUUGAGAUCUUGUCAAAGCUAUUGAGAUCUCAGCCUCUAUUAUUAUUGAAUCUAACUCUGAUAAUGUCAUUAAUUGGAUGAAUAAUCCAGAAAAUAAACCUUUGCUACAUUAUAAGCUUUUCUCUUUAGCCAAGAGAUUGGCUCUAUGCUUUGACUCAAUCACUUUCACCUAUUUUCGUCAUGAGUCUAAUUAUAUGGCAGAUCACCUGGCAAAACAAGGAGUGCACAGAACAAGAGAAUUUGUUGCUUGGAUUUGAGUCGGCCAAAUGUUUUUGGCCCUUCUUUUGUCUAUAUCUGUUUGCGGUUCCUAGUGGUGAUGAGUUGUUUUUUCCAGGUUUUGAAAGUUUUGAAUUCUAGAGAGGCAAUGGCUGGUUGUAGCAGGUGGUAAGGAGUGGUCUGGUUCUUCACCAUACCAUUCAUUCUCUUCCAUUUUAUUCUUGGCAUAUCAGAGUUGGUCUAGGAGGAGCUGGUGUUUCAUGAUGUUAGUAGCUUGGUCUGAAGAUCUCUUUUAAUAUGGAAAAGUCGAGGAUAGAUGGAAAGAUUUAGUAAUAAUUUAAAUCAGAAUCGAGAUAGUUUUUUGGUUUUAUGGGAGUUUCCCUUGGAUUUUUAGCUUGGUAGUUUAGCUUGGCAGUUUUGUUUGCGUGGAGGCAAAGCUGCAUCCUGUGGUUGUUGCUCUGUUUUGUGGUUUUCUUGGUCUUUUUCCUUUUUCGUUUGUUUAAUUUGCUAAACUUGAGUGUUGUGCAGAUUUUUAUCUUGUCCUUCCCGCCAUCUUUAAUUUGGCGUUUUAAUGCAAUACUUUAGUUAUUAAAAAAAAAAUCAUGAUUUCUGUAGCACGUCUUUGCCUUGCACACUCAUCUUGUAGGAGGCCAACGAUGAAAACGGUGAACUUUCUUAUUUCUCUCCAUAUAAAUAUAUUUGCACAAGUCGUCCAUGAAAAUGUCAUCAUGGAAUAGCAGAUAUUGAGGUUAUUUCAGUAGCCGGAGUACAAACUCCUUAACAGUAUCGAGUCCAAUGAAGAAAAAUCCCCGUGGAGAAUGGACGACUCAUCCUCGACAGCCAAUGUUAGUCUGCCUUCGGAUGAUACAUACCAUGAAAUAUUACUAGCUAAAGCACCAAAUUAGCGAGCAUCCAAUAUCUCAGCCACCAUGAAAUCAUUUCCAAUAUUGGUCUAGAUUUUGACUCUUGAUUACUUUGGGAAAAAACUUUUGAUACCUUUUCUUUUUUUGGUAAGUCAAGGUACGUACGUAGAUUAAAAAACUUUUGAUACAAUCAAACAGGACAUAAACUUGGUACAUGAUGAAAAGAAGUUGGCAGCUUGCCAUCUUAAGUUAUUCAAAAUACAGAACGGACGUGGAUAAUCCAAAAGGGAAACCUCAACUGAAGAGCAUAAACCCUCCAGCAACAUGACACCUGACAGAGAAAUUAUUAGCUUAACAAAACAGGUGGAGAACGUUCCAAAAAAACACAUAGACUCUAAAAGGGGAAGGCAUAGAGCACUUCUUUAUUAUCGCACAUCAACUAUGCGAAUAUGGGAAAUUUAGAAAGUAUUCAUGUAGGGUUCACCCAUUCUUGACUCUGGAGAUCCUCCACAAGUUUUUCAUCCAAAUGGAAUGCUGUGGUGAGAACUUCAGGAUAAAGAGGCCAACUGGCUCCAAAGAUUGCAUUUGCUACUGUGUUUACUCCUGGAUUUUGGCUUGUUAAUGCAGCAAUAGCAACGGCAGGAGUCUUUCCAAUAUUCAAUUGAAAAUGAAUGAGGCCGAAUGGGAAUACAAAGAGAUCUCCUGGUUUUAGGAUUUUGGUAAAGAGACGAUGAUCAGGAUUUGAGGUUACAAAGCCAGCAUAAAGAGUGCCUUCCAAAACCAGCAGAACCUCCGAUCCUCUGGGGUGAUAAUGUGGAGGGUUUAGGCCACCGUUUGGCGCCAAGUCUAUCCGUGCUAAAG
RNAcentral lists this long non-coding RNA (7799 nucleotides) under Populus trichocarpa (black cottonwood). Its description in RNAcentral is "long non-coding RNA (PTRI_LNC001302)". Lineage: Eukaryota; Viridiplantae; Streptophyta; Magnoliopsida; Malpighiales; Salicaceae. The record is from RNAcentral.